AGCGGCGCGACGCGCGGGCUGGGCGGGAAGGCGGCCGGUCGCGAGCGCGCCCCCCCCCUCAGCCCCUCAGCCCCUCAGCCCCUCAGCCCCUCAGCCCCUCAGCCCCUCAGCCCCUCAGCCCCGUCUCUUUGCCGCCUUCCUCCCGCGCCGCAGCGCUCCCCUGCCCGCGCUUCCCUCGUCUGUAAAGCUCCAGCGCUGGGAGUCCUGUCGUUCCCUCCUGUGGUGGUGGCGGGCAAGGGGGGCGUGCGGCACUUCCCUGGUGCUGGAGGUUGCUGGGGCUGGGCUCCACCAGGCCUCAGCGACAGGGAAAACCUGGCCGGUUUAUAGUAAAAGCAGCUAGCUCAGGAAGGAGAGGUCAUGUUUAUCUCAAGCGCCCGGAGAGAGGGCAGCCACCUGCCACCCUGGGGACCCGGAGCAGUGGCCCAGGAGGCUGUGUGCAAGUGAUAUUGAGGAGAAACCAUGCAAUUAUCCAGCUGUACUUACAUCAUUAGGGAGUUCUUUCUGGUUCACAGGUUUUUAUUUUGGAGAGGGUUCUUCUACAUCUCCCACUGUCAUUCUACCUCAGAUUCGCUCAGCUAAGUGAGGUCUUUGAUUUUAGGCUUUUUGGAGUGGAAGAAAAGAUACCGUGGAGACUAGAGCAUAGCUGCCUCUUUACUCCUUGUCUAGUCCAAGUUCUGAGGAAGGCGGAGCAGAUGUGCCAUCAGGCAGUGGUAUUUUAUCAUUUGACUUAGCACAAGGAGAACCAGACAUUGCACAUGGCAGUGUUUCAGCUCAGAGGGAAAAAUUGACUUGCACACCACAUUGACUAUAUUGGCAUUUUCUUCCAAAAUGGCAGUGGAUUAUUUUUCAGGCAUGGAUGUGUGAGAAUGAUUUCCUUGUAGAAACCCACAACUAAGGAAAGGAUGAGGUGAAAAUGGGCAGAUACUGAUUCUGCACCGAAGGGAGGUGGGUAGAUGAGCACCCAGAGCUUUACCGCUGAACUAUGGGAAUCGGGAAAGGAUGUGAAAACUCUACCUGCAAUCUGUUGUGCUGCUUUUGUGGGCCUUGAGUUUAUACAUAAAAACUCACCCUCCUGUGAACAGCUGAAAAGUGAGAAUGCUUGAGCAAGAACCAAAUAGGCAGAGCGGAAGGCCAGGGCUAUGCGGUCUGAGAUCUACAAGGGAAGGAGGGCGUCUUUUGUGGAGGAUAGCUUACAAAAGGAGGAGGUACAGUCCUUGCAUUGCCUUCAGCCUCUGUGGAAACCCAAGGCCCUGAGAAUGUGAAAAAAUCUGUGGAAGCUAACUGAGGGCUUUGCAAGUGUAUCUGAAUGGUGGAUCAACUGAGUGUAGGCUCAGAUCAGGACUUCAAAUGCGUGCAGUCACAGCCUUCCCGCAGACGGUGAGAGAAGUACUGCAGAAACAUCUCUGCUUCUCCACUAGGACUGAUACAGCAGCAAGGCACAAUGUACCGGUGAAAUUCUAAGGAGACACCACUGUAACCCCUGGGAAGAAGAAAGGGUUAAUCCUCUACUGCUCAGAGAGAGUCCUGAAUCGCAUUUGUACAACAACGGUGGAUAAUAGACCAAGAACAGCAUCCUGUCAGUGUUCUCAGAUGAGAGAUAAUCUGAGCAGCAAAGUAUUUACAGCACAGGGACCUUAGCUAUUUUACUUCUGCCCAUGGGAUCCCACCUCAGCUGUAGCCGUUUGAAUUAACAUGCCUCCUUGCUUCUUCUUCUGGCUGAGGAAACUGCAAGAAGUGCUGUCAUGGCCAGCAGAACAAACAGAUGAUCCACCCUAUACCUGAUGUAUUACUUCAGCAGCAAAUUCAACAAGGCCAAGAUGUCUUCAUUUCCCUUCAGAGCAAGAACUGUAAGAGCAGUGUGAUGGAAGCAUUGGUCUUCUGUGGCCAGCCGGAAAUAAGGGAAAAGACGGAUUUGACCGAUCACAUCGAUGGGGGCUUCAUGUUGGAAGAAUGGUUUCCUCAAGCAACGGCUCUCAGGGUAAACACUGGUUCUCAAGGUGAAAUCAGAUUGCUGUGUGCUUGCCAGCGGUGACCAAGGUGUAUAGGUGAGGAUGGUUCCCCUGUCCCACAGAAAUUUGUUGUCUGCCAGAGUCAUGGAUGAAGCACACCAGAUUCCUUCCAGAAUUGCCAUUGCAAAGAACAGUCUUCCUUCCCAGGCUUGUCACAGUGCUUUUUCAGCCAAAAAUUAUCUCUGGUCAUGGCAUGGACCAUAGUAGAUGAUGCUGAUAAUAUUGCCCAAAUAGAUUAUCUUCCAUCUCUCAAGGGACUCAGGCUUCUUCAUGAACAUACAAAUAGGAGACAGAAACCAGAUAUAAAGAGCUCUUUGUCCACUCAUGGCAUGAAACAACCCCAAAAGCGACAGGUGACAAUUGCUGAAUCAUGCACCAGAAUAAUUGAAUGCAGAAAAUCAACAUGAAGAACUUGUCUCAUGAAGAAUCACAUGAGAUUAUCUAGAAAUCUGACUAGAACUGUUAUAUUUUUAUGACUUAACAGACAUCGGGACCUCAGGACCAUCCUUAAACCAUGGUGGAAACAGAACCACACAAUGAAUCAGAUUCUUCUUUGAACUUACCCAGGAAGAUCUAGGUUACAGUCAUCAAAUGUCUUGAGCAUUGUAGUUAGCUCUGAUCUCUGCUAAGACUUACUGCCAAUGUGGUACAAAAGUCAUCUGCACUUCUGGCCAAAACCUCCCUGCCUAGUCAUCGCUCAUUCUUCCUAUGGUACAUCUGCAAUGACUGACAGGCACACACUUCACUAGGGCCAGCACUACAGAGAUGGUAAGAUCUGCAGUACAGACAGAAAAGAUAGAUGGGCCUUUUACAUGGUUCACCAGUAUUUUCUCUCUUUUGAUAUGGAUCCAAGGUGAAAAAUCCAGGAGAAGAAUGGAAAGGUGAAAAUUCCACCACAAAAAGACCCAAAAACCAAACAAACAAACAAAAAAAAAACCCCAGCAACUAAGCUGUGACUCAUUAUGAAUGUAAAAUGUUGGAGCCUAAAGCUGGGGUUUUUUCAUGUGCCUGGGUGGAGAAGGGUGAGGUGCCCUCUGAGGAUGAUUUUAUCUUUAACUUUUGAGUCUGAAGAUCUUGGAUGUGGUUUGGCAAGUUCAUAAAAAUAUUUGUGAUAGAGUUGAACUGCCGUCUGGAAAUGUUACAUACAGAGAUUUAAGAAAGCUUAAGGAGAAUACUGCAGAUGCUGGAAGAAGAAUCAGCAGUGCACAUGAAUGAGGUUAAAAAUUGCAGACAAUUAGCUACUAGAUGACUCCAACUAAAUAAAUCAUCAAAGACUUGACUACUGCUUCCAGGUUUCCACAACAAUAUUAGCUCACUGGAGCAGCCAAAAAGAUGUUAAUUUGGCCAAAAUUUUAGGAGUUUGCUAUUCUUGUUUGAAUUAACAAAUCAACCAAUAAGUCCAAUGUACACUCUCUUGCCAAGGCUAUAAAGCAGGCCCUUUACGCUUCUAGGGAAGAUACUAUAUUUAUUGCUCAGGGUCGAGGGCCCCAUGAUAUGGAAAAUAAGAUAAUAAGCAUCUUUGUGUUAAAUGAGAGCUACAUGGGAAAGAAAAGCAACCUGAGCUUGUCAUGGAAUCUCACAUCUUGUUUCAGCACCCAAUAAAGCACUUUGCUUGUCCAAUUUAAUAGAGAGGCAUAAUUUCUUUUUCCUGUAUGCCUCCACAGUUCAGGUCUAGCUCUGAUUUCAUUUAGAGCUUAGCCAAGACCCAAAGCAAAGGGAAAAUAUUCCUGUUGCUUCCAACAGGCAUCUGGUCAGUCUCGUGCCAUGGUUUUGUGUAAAUGUAAAUUCAGUGCUGAGUUUCUCCCAGGAAAAAGAGGGGUAGGUGGUAACACCAGGGAAUCUGUACACUCAGCUUUCCAUCCUCGUGCUACUUGCUGCUGAUAGAACCAGUCCUUUGGCUUGGCAAAAACUUCUUAAUUUGUCUGGCCUUUCUGCAGGGUUGACUAGUACAAAAAAGAGAGCACCUUGACCUUCUUUAUUGCUAAAUCUAGGUAGCUCACCACAGUUGUACUCUUUUACUGCUUGAGAUUUACUUGUGUCCCUGGCAUGUUGUGAUAAGCCUCUGAAUGUCACUGCUGUGAAGGUUUUGUUCUUCCCAAAGGCUCUCCAGAGGUUCAGUGAAGGCAAGUAGGGUUUGCUUUGGUUGAAAAGUAUUUAUGAAAGAAUUUAGUGGGAAAUCGGAAUGUUUGACUUGUUACAAGGCCAGUUUAUACUAUGUGGACUUCCAACAUUGCUCAUAGUAGGUGAACCUCACCCCAUGUUAAGGGCCAGCUCAAGACUUAGUUAUCAUGUACAUGCAAUUUAAACUGUCUUCAAAAUAAGACUUAAGUGGUUCAUAAGCCUCACACUCACUCUUUGUGCAGGAGUGUAAAGAAAGGAACCUGAUUUGGAAAACACUAGGGAGAAAUACUGAAGUUUUACGCAUCAAAAAGGCUAAUUAGAAGUUGUUUUCUUUUAUAAAAAAUAAAUAAAGCAUAUUGGCAUUAAUUAUAUGAAAUACUUAAAGUUUGGUAUAAUCUACUGAAGAGCACAGAUGUAUACCAAAUACUGUGCAAAUGAGUGUGUGCGACUAUUUUUCAGGUAAUACAUUUAUUUACAAAAAUAAGCUGUGUUUGGGUUUCUUUUUAAUGGUUAGAAUGUCAUAAAAGGCCUUUCUCUCUCUCUUGCUCUUAUUCAAUGUAGUGAGAUAGUUACAGCUGCUCAGCACAGCCUAACAUACAUUCCAGGAGCUCGAAGCAGAUUCUUCUGGUACCUGAGUUAGUAGUACUCUGUCAGCUUUCCUGCAAUUACGUCACUGUGUUUCCAGAGCUACUGUGUCUGCAGAAGUUCCAGAAAGCUCAUGGUGAAGAGUCUGCUUUCACCUCUCAGAUUCAAGCCCAUUAAAUGAUUUGAGGAAAUGAAAAACGAGUGAUCCUUUUAGAAUUGUCAACAACUGGCCUACAGUCUAGCUUGAAGCUUUUGGUAACCCUACCAGCUACAGCUCUGGACAAGCCAAAGAUUGCCAGAAGGAUACAUGUUGCCUUUGAAACUGCAGCCUUUGACCUGGUCUUACACUUCCACUUCUGAACUGACUAAAACAGUGAGAGCACAUCCUCAGGAUGGUGGGGACCUGGCUUGCUACACUUUUGCUGCAUUUCAGAGCCAGCAAACAGGAGGAGAUGGAGGGUGCUCACAACCAGACAGUGAAAUGCUUCUAAAGAGUAAAUCCCAGAAUGACCUGUGCUGCAUACACAGCUGUACUGCUGCCAGCCCGGAGAGUAAAGUGAGCUUCGGAGCCGUCCACUCUGGGCGUCAGCGGUUUUGAAGCAAUACAAAAGAAGGUGGCUGAUUCUCCACUCUGUUUUACUGGUUGUAUACUGGUGAAAUGCUGUUGAAGCCAGUGCAGUUGCACUGCCAUAAAACCUGAUACAACAAAGCAAGUAUCCAGUUUGAUAUAUUUACUGUUGAUACUGUUAAUAAUGUUAAUGUCCACAGAGUCCAGAGCAGCAGGCAGGACUGACCCCUGGCCUCUCUGAUUUGCCUCAGUAGAUCACACCGUAACCCUAUUAUUUUCCUCAAGUUUUCUUACCUUGUAAUCUUCCUGGGUAUCAUCAGAAUAAAGUGCACCCUGCAAGUAACUCCUUAAACCCAAGUAUAUCCCUGUUUAAAUAUUGGGAUUGGGAUAAAGAAUACCAUGCUUAAAUGGUAUCCUUUGAAAUGCAGCAUUGUGCAUAAAAGGCCUGCCAGGUUCCUGUCAGAAGGGUUAGCUGAAGACUGGGGGACUGGAAACACUGACUACAGCCAAUUUCUUUUUUUCUAUUUGUUAAUCCACUUUGUCCAAACAAUAUGAACAUUUGGUGCAUUUAGCUUUAAAUAUGUCAAAUGCUCCUUUAGGAAAGAACUUCCAAAACCUAAAAUCAUCUCUUAAAACCAAAUUCAUUGCCUGAGCUCAAAAUUAUUCUUCUCUACAUAAAUAAACACACAUGCGCACGCGUGCGUGCGCACACACACAUACUUGCAUACUUUGUCUGCACUGCAGGAAUCAUCCUGGGAUAGCAUUGCGCUAUUUGUGCAGCCCUGCUAAAAAGCCUGGCUUUCUGAUACCAAAAAAGUGCUGCAAAUAUUAACACAUUAUUGAGAGUGGGGGAAAAAAGCAAGAAUUAUUAUCCCAGAAUGUAACAAAUCUAAAAAUAAAUUGACUUCAUUUUCACCUAUUUCAGACCAACGGGGGUAAAACAACUUUAAUUAGUGUAACAGGACAAUAGGAAUGAAAUUGGCUUGGUCACAAGAUUUUUGCAGGAUGACACUGAUGGUAUUACUAUCCAACUUCAAAGAUUUGGAAAGAUGUGGCUGCUAACACUGGAGAAUAGAAACCUGUUUUUCAUCAACUAGGCUGGCCUGACAAAUUAAGUCUGUGGAGUCAUUAGAUUAAGAUAAGAGCUUAUCUCCUAGACUGACAUUUAUUCAGAGGUUUUUAUGCUGCUCAGCUAGUAAUUAGUGCAGUUGAAUUUUUAACAUUGCUUUGUCCAGUCAUUUGACAGAUUUGAAAUAUACACAGUUUUGAUUAAAAAAAUAACUAAAAUCCAAGGAUACAAAAUUAUUAACUUGGAAAGGUUUUAAUUUCUGGAAGAGUUGAGAUUAUGCUAAAAAUCUUCAAGCAGGUCAGAAGUGCUUCUGCUGUUGACUCAUUUCCAUACACAGACUGAGAGGCCCCUUAAACUAAAUUUUUAGGCACUAAGCAGCAGAUAUCUGUAGCAAAUCUGUAAUUUCUUUCAUGCCCAUCCAUUUUGUAAUUCUGCUGCUUUACAGGGGCAGGAAUACAGUGAAGGCUGCACUCCUGCUCAUUAACGCUUGUCUGCCUCCUUCGGCACUCAGGUUGGGAUUUUGGGGCUGGGGGGGGGGAGGAGUUUCAAAAGGAUUCUUGUCUCAUAUGGCUGAUUUCCUGGGAUAAGGUUUAUUUUUCCUGUCCUAAUUUUCUUGUAAUAACAGAUGGAUUGUUCCACAGUAAACCAAUGCAUUACUUUUGGACACAUGUUUUAACAUUGCUUUAGACUAACAAAUCUCACUUUUUUUUAAACAGCUCAUUUUGAGUAACUGAAGAUCAGAAUUAGAUUAAUAAUUAAUGAUUAAAUGGAUGAGUGUUUGUUUAUGAACUUUGACAAGUUUGUUACAGCUACAUCCUGUUACUGCCUUAAAGCAUUUGUUUUGUCCAAAGUGCAGCUGUCUCAGCAUCUAUGGUUGUUACCUUUAGAAAUACACAGGCAAGGGGACUUUAUGGUAGUAAAUUACAGUUCAUCCAACUACUUAAUUCCUAUGAAUACUGGCUUUCAAAAACAGAGAAGAAAAAAAGAAAGCAUGCACUCUGGAAAGAUCCAGAUGAUCUCAGACUGCCUGUUUGGAAAAUAGACCAUCCUUCUUGAUGUUUUACACCUUACUGCCAAGACCCCUGAAGUCUGUGGACUCACAGACCCAGGGCAGUGGGUUGCAGAGGGCAGCCAGCAUUGCCACUCACAUGCACUCCUGAGCCUGAAGCGGCAGCGGUAGAGCAGGACGUGGGCUGUCAGGCCAACUGAAGCCAGGGUGUGCAUGCUGGUUUUUCGUGCCCACUUCUGUGGGUUUGGGUUUUCCUGGCAUUUAUGUGACCCCAAAGCACGAGAGGAGUUAAGCAGCUUGUAAGCACAACAGCUCUUCCGUGGUGCUGCAGAUGGGAAGGGAGAUGUGAGGCAGGGAGUGAUUUCAGAGCUGUGUAUAGCCAGGAGUGAAACCCUGCCACCCUCUACUUUCUGAGCCUGAACCAUGACCUAGAGCUGCCCAGACUCCUGUUCCAAAGCAGAUGCUUUCAGCCCUCUGUGGUGGUAAGGCCUCUGAUACUUCCCACUGGCGCUGUGAAACCCUAUAUAGUAAAUUUAAGCUCCAUGACAAUCACUGCCACCAGGCACCGCACCAUCCCUAGUCUGCAGGUGAGACCACCUCAGCUUGUGGUCAGGAGUGCCUAGAGGUGGAGAUGGAGACGAUGUUUGUGGCAAUGCUCAUAAAAUGGCCUGGCAAGAAAUUUGCAUCAAACUGAACCACUUGCAUCAGUCCUCCAAAAGCUUCAAGUACCGUUUGUCCCACAAAUUUCUGCCCUCUAAAUUUUAGCUGUUAAUGCUGCCUUUGCUGUCAACCAAGUCAAAAAUCCCACAAAACUCUCAAUGUAUAACUCGCUUCCCAGCCAGGGUGGCCCAGCAGAAAGAAGUGGAACCUGUCCCUGGAUCUUGGGUGAGCGUGAGGGGAAGACCCGAUUUCUGAUGUCUCCAGGAAGGAGUAUGGCCUGAACAGAGGGAGCGGGAGGGAUUUACAUUCAGGCUUGCCAGGUUUUGUGGCGGCAGCAUCCCUGUUUUCCUGGGUUUGUUUACUUUCCUCUGUUGUGCAUUGCUACACUGUACAUUGCUACAACAGCUGGAUGCUCUCAGCACUAUCUGGGCAAGCUUCAGUCUGUUAGGCUGUUAGACAUAAGAGGAAAAGUUGCCAUCACCCACACACACACGCAGGCACAAAACCAAAGAAAGCCCACACCUUUGGGACAAAAAGACAGCUAUUAUGAAACUAUUAACAUCUCCUUUUGAUGGACUGUGGAGAUAACAGCAUACAGGUGUCUUAGUGUUGUCUGUCUCAGCUGUCCGUCAACAGUGCUGGCUCAUGGGGCGAUUCCCUGGCCCCAGAGCCAUCUCAGACACCUCCUAGUCUGCUACUAUCCGUGAGGUUUUUGUCUUACAGGCUGCCACCAUCCUCCUGUACUUCUGUGAGAGAUACCAUUGACCUGCACCUUUCCCUUGGGUCAACAAUUUAAAGACAACUGCUGCUUGAUGGUGCAUGCAAAAUGAAUUAUUAGUCUUGGUUCUGGCCUAAGUGUCUGAAGACUGAGACCUCCGCUGGCCCCACACGGAAGACCAAGGUCUGACAGAAGCACUAGCAAAAGAGAAGUCCCAACAGGUCAAGGGAAGGGGCAUUGCAAACUGAUAAACUCCGUUACUACGAGGAGAACUUUGUUCAACUUCUGACGCCAGAAAGGACAGCCUGGACUGGCAGCUCCUCCAGCAACCAGUGGAAAUAAUAUUAAUUAACCUGAGGGCAGUCCCUGGCUUGCUGCGAGCAAGGCAGGAUCCAUGCAAAGGGCAGGGGAUGAGCUCGUCGGAGGCUGAUGAAGUUUGGGCUUGCAUUCCAGAAAAGAUGUCCUCAAAGGAACACGCUUCCCCCUAAGAAGCCAUCAGGAUACACUGACACCUCUGCCUUCUAACAUGGAUGUUUUUCAGCCUGUAUCAGUCAUCCAUACGACAUGGCUCUUUCCACACCAUCUUCCCAGCACAGGGCUGAGGAGAACAGAGAUCAAGCACAUCCACGAAAAGGGUAGCUGGUUGGAGUUGCAUCCGUGAAGCAAAGGCGCUCACCAGUGAGCAGAUUUCAAGUCAACCACGAAUGGCUACAAGCUUGGCAGGGGCUCAAGGCAGAAGCUGGCGGGUGCUGCUGGCUUUGGGGGCAGGAGCACCGUGGCUUCCCAAGAACUUCACGGUCACGGGCCAGUGGUUGCCAGCAAAGCCCGGGCACGCACAGGUAAGCCAGCUCGAUUGCUUUAAAAUGGUUCAUCUGUUCCACGAGUGUGAAAAUAAUAGCCAUGUCAGAUGAACUUCUGCUUUUUAUUAAAAAUACCACAACCAACAACUUACAAGGUAAUUGAUUGCUUCUUCUAGGCUUUUAUUAGUUGUGAUUAAAGAGAUAUAGUAGCCCUGUUUACAUAGCUCUAACAAGUCAGGACCUGCAGUACGUUAUUGGCUUGCAGCCCACAACUUGCAGCCCAUUCUCAACAGAAUCAAUCUGAAGUUGAAAACAUCCCCUGUAGGAAGCG
Long non-coding RNA from Falco peregrinus (peregrine falcon), 9870 nucleotides. RefSeq lists it as uncharacterized. The record is from RefSeq and is a predicted model, not a curated record. Lineage: Eukaryota; Metazoa; Chordata; Aves; Falconiformes; Falconidae. The transcript has 25 exons.